AAUAACGAUUCUUGAAUCGAGGGUUUUGUUUCGUCCCACAUAAAGGUCACAAAAAAAGUGUCAACAAUAGCUUCUAUAAUUUAGCAUUCCCGCUAACUCUAACAUUCAUUCACUCUCGCACUACAAUUCUAUCUUGCUCCACUUACUCAACACUCUUUCUACGAUCAAUUCUGCAAAUUUGCGUUGUUUUGCAGUUACAAGAAUGUUGAUACCACUUUCAAUUGUAGAUGAUGUUGCUAUCGUUGAUUUAGGUCAACAGCAUCACCGCCACAACAUGUUACCUGUGUAUGUACUCUUUGAUUCUCGUACCAUGUCUCACAACCACAACAAUGUUCCAACAAGAUUAAUGUCUCACAAUCACAACAGUGUUUCAUCAAGAUUAACUUCACCAACCGUGUCUGUGGUAGAUGAAACUGUUCUCUAUGAUUUUCCUAUCGGCAAUGUUCCAAGAAGAUCAAGGAUUCAUCCAUCAUGGUCAAUUAAUCAUCAAACGGGUCACCACCACCACCACCACAAUGGUACUCGAGCUUCUCCGGCUGUGAUCGGUGUUCAGAAUACUAGAGCUUUUGGUGCUCAAGAUACUUGUCAACAUGUCACAACAUCAACAACAGAUGCAGAAUCCAUCUGUUGCAUUUGUCUUGUUCACUUGUCUAAUGGUUCUUCCACGCCAAUCCGGCUGCUCUGCUCUCAUGAUUUUCAUACCGACUGCAUUCAAAAAUGGAUCAACAUUAAGAAAACUUGUCCACUUUGUCGCGCCAAUGUUUAAUUUUCAUAUAUUUAUGUGUUGAUGAUUUAUAAAAAUGUUUCCUUUCUUUUGUUAUUUUCCAUGUUUUGGUUUGAUGAUUUUCCAUGUUUAGGUUUGAAUCGCUUGGAUUACCACACAUUCCUUCAAGCCCUCUGAGGUAAGUUUUUGUUGGGUUGCUAUUACCUAUGAUACAUCAUGUGUCUUGCAGUUUUGUUUGUUAGUAUAGGUUCUACAUAAAACAUGUGUGCUCUGUCUUUGUGUGCAAACCUGUCUUUUUUAUGUAUCUUUUCUUUAUUCUUUGUGUCAAUAUGUGAUACACCGCAUAUGUUAUAAGUGAUUUUGCUUGCGAAUAUUUAGAACUAUGCUUCUGUCCUUGCAAUCAUCCAGUUUUAAAGUUGUGAACAGAUGCUGAAUAACUAUGUUUAUGUUGUCUAUUAGGCAAGGCCUAUAAAAGAUUCAAUUUAAGGUUAAAAUAACAGUAAAGGUUUUGUUUCAUUUUGUCUCUUAUCAAUUAUCAUAUGCUUGUUUGGUUUGAUGGAUUAUGGAAAGUAACAACUAUUUUGUUACAAUGGAGAAGGUGUGGGAUCUUAAUAUGGAUUAUAGCUUACGGGUCACGUAAGCAUGCUUUUAUGAUUCUUACUAGUUAUGAUUCUAUGGUAAAUAUCAGAAGCAAUGAAGAUAAGAAAAGGUUAAACAUUACUUUGCCUGGACUUGGGCUCAACUCAAAGAUAUUCAGAGAUCAAUUCUUGGCCAGGGAAGUUUUGUAUAAGAUGCAACUUGUUUAGACCUGAAUGUGAUGAGAUAUUCAGUUUGAAUCACAACAGUAGAAUAAACAUGCUUCUCAAUUUUUUUUUAAUAUUUAAAUUUUGGAUGCUUCUGUACUUGUGUGAUAUCUGAAAAUUUUGGAAGAUUUGCAGUGGUAGAGUUGCGGCAAUUUUGAAGCAACCUCCGCCACUUAAUUUUACCACAGUAGUUGCAAUUUAUUAAAUAAUCUGGAACCUCCGCCAAUUAAUUUUUUACCACGGGAACUCAAUUUUCUAUUCGGUUAGGCUAAUCAUAGUGACUUUGGGAAAACAAAAUUAAAUUCAAGUAAGAUUGCAAGUUUAACAGUGUCUGAACUUUUUGUCAAAUUUAGAUGGGUUUCUUCUUUGAAACCAACAAGUUAGAUGUGAUUCAAAUACACAUUUACUGGAAAUGUGACUGUUGGUGAUGUUACUUUGUUGAUUCCUUCGUAUUGUGUCCAACAAGUUAGAUGUGAUUCAAAUACACAUUUCAUAUUGUUCAAUUCAGGUUGGUAGGAAGUGAAGUGCUUCAUAGAUCAACUCAAGUCUCGCCAACCAAGGUGAUUCCAUUUCAUUUAUCUUUACUUUUUAUAUUUUAUGAUUUCAUUUCAUAUUUGUUUUAUGUACCAGCUAUACUUGUUCACCCUUUUCACAAGGGUUCAGGAGGGUUCUAAAUCUCUUAAGUUCAAAUUUUCUAUUGUUUAUUGUGCAUGAAUAGAAGAAUCAUUGAGUCUGAUUUCUGAAAAUGGAGAAGAAUUAGUCAUGGUAUAACAAUUGUGAGCAGUGCAAUUGUAUUUUAAGAAAAUGACCUUUUGUGACCUUUUCUCAUCAGCAACAGAUUUUGAAACACUCUCCAUGACCUUGCAUCUUCUUGCAACAUACUCAGAUUCUACUCUCGUUUGGGUGAGAGAUCUAAGUUUUCCCUUCCUGCUGGUCUUGAGCCUUUGUCUAAUAAAUUAAGGUACUUGCAUUGUAGUGCAUAUCCCUUGAAGUUUCUACCAUCAGCUUUUUCUCCUGAGAAACUUGUUGAGCCUUACAUGCCAAACAGCCGUUUUCAAAGAUUAUGGGACGUAGUGUAGGUUUGUGGCUUGAAAUAUAUGAAACUAAUUUAUACAUUGUAUUAUAUGUGAUCAAAGUAUUUUUGGUUUGUUAAUUUAAAGAAAAUGGACCUCAGCUGUUGUGAGCACUUGAUAGAGCUUCCUGAUUUCUCCAUGUAUCACAUCUCCAAUACAUUAACCUCUGGACGUGGAAGGCUGUGUCAUGUUCAUACAUCUACUUUAGCGCUCCAAAUCUUGUCAAUUUAAACUGGGCUUGGUGCAAAAAGCUCAAGAGUCUUAUAAGCAAUUCCUCUUUAAACUUUGCGAAUUCUCAAGCUCUAUGGCUGCUCAAGUCUCAAGGAAUUUUCUGUGAUAUCUACAAAUGACAGUUGUUGGAUUUAAGAUGAUGCAUUGCUAUCAAUGAAUUGCGACAGGCAUACGUUGAGUACCUUGGAAGUGUUGUGAACUUGGAGCUGAGUAGCUAUGGGAACCUUAGAUAUCUUCCAAAUGAAUUCUCAUGCUCGAAAUUCUGAUUGCAUGCUACUUGACAUAUCAAAUGGCCGGCAUUCUUUAGGAUACUUUAGUCUGGACAACGGUUGUAAUCUGACUGAACUACUUCACAAGAACAACAGUCUGUUAACAUCAUUAUAUUAUUUAUCACUCACUGGAAUCAAUGUGAAGAACAUUCCUAUAAGCAUCAAGCAUCUUUCACAGCUAGAAUCUCUUGACUUGUUCAAAUGCAUGAGCAUUUAGUCUUUACUAGAACUCCCACCAUCAUCCGUUGAAGUGUUGGAUGUCACCAACUGCACAUCCUUGAAGACCAUCUUCAUGUCUCCAUGGUCUCCUGUUAUUGAUGAACUAUUACUCCCGAAAUGUUAAUGUUUAUGUUUGAGUUCCUUAUCUUCUUUUAGAAUAAUUCCUAUUUAUUAUGGAAGUAGACAAUAGGUUGUUCAUUCAUAUUUCAAAAUCUAUAGACAUGAUCAACAUAAUAAAAGACUGCAAAGAUUUGAAAGUUAUAUCAUAUUUGAGGCUGCUUGGAACCAUAGAGCAACAGAGUAGGAAAUCAGCUGCCCAAAACAUUAUUAGAAAACAUUUUAAAGGAAAUCAACAAGACAUGACACUAUAGGAAAAGCCAAAUUCAAGAAAUUCAAUUUCUCUCACAGAUUCCAAAGAAUCUUCUCAAUCCAAGUCAAACCUCUUCCUAUAGUUAACAACAUACUCAUACACCUCUUUCUCAUCAGCAACAGAUUUGGAAACACUCUCCCUUUGUUUGCAUCUCUUUGCCCAAGCAAUCAGCUUAUCACACUCUGC
Molecule: long non-coding RNA, 3875 nt
Organism: Lathyrus oleraceus (garden pea)
Lineage: Eukaryota; Viridiplantae; Streptophyta; Magnoliopsida; Fabales; Fabaceae
Exons: 2
Source: RefSeq, a predicted model, not a curated record